Molecule: ribosomal RNA, 468 nt
Filed under: uncultured bacterium
Lineage: Bacteria
Description: partial 16S ribosomal RNA
Rfam family: Bacterial small subunit ribosomal RNA
Source: RNAcentral
GACGAACGCUGGCGGCGUGCUUAACACAUGCAAGUCGAACGGAAAGGCCCGGCGUUUGUGGGGUGCUCGAGUGGCGAACGGGUGAGUAACACGUGAGUAACCUGCCCCUGACUUUGGGAUAACUUCAGGAAACUGGGGCUAAUACCGGAUAGGAGCUCCUGCUGCAUGGUGGGGGUUGGAAAGUUUCGGCGGUUGGGGAUGGACUCGCGGCUUAUCAGCUUGUUGGUGGGGUAGUGGCUUACCAAGGCUUUGACGGGUAGCCGGCCUGAGAGGGUGACCGGCCACAUUGGGACUGAGAUACGGCCCAGACUCCUACGGGAGGCAGCAGUGGGGAAUAUUGCACAAUGGGCGGAAGCCUGAUGCAGCAACGCCGCGUGCGGGAUGACGGCCUUCGGGUUGUAAACCGCUUUCGCCUGUGACGAAGCGUGAGUGACGGUAAUGGGUAAAGAAGCACCGGCUAACUACGUG